This 125-nucleotide small nucleolar RNA is filed under the name Carlito syrichta (Philippine tarsier). Its description in RNAcentral is "Small nucleolar RNA SNORA11 (ENSTSYG00000020404.2)". It matches the Rfam family "Small nucleolar RNA SNORA11". From Rfam's summary of the family: U107 (SNORA11) is a member of the H/ACA class of snoRNAs that guide the sites of modification of uridines to pseudouridines. This snoRNA was identified by RT-PCR from blood cells and its expression confirmed by Northern blot analysis. Lineage: Eukaryota; Metazoa; Chordata; Mammalia; Primates; Tarsiidae. The record is from Rfam by way of RNAcentral.
GAGGUGGACAGGGAGAGGCCUGAGGAAUGGCUCCUCUGUUUACAACACACCCAACAGGAAGCUGCGGUCAUUGUGACAAGAGGCACAAAACUUGUGGCCUCCCUACGAGCAAAUGCCCUACACUU